AAAGAAAAAACUAUCAAGAAUUUUACUAAAUUUUGUGUGCAAUCUAUGGAAGACGAUACAAUACUGCAAUAUCUGUACGAAGCAGAUUCUUUAAGCUUGGCCCUCUAAUACACAUGUUCCCCACCAUCCCCACUAUCGUGAAAUUGAAAACCUCGAUGGAAUAUGUUCUUCACGUAGAAAAAAAAUUAAACUUAAUGAAUUCUUCGUUUUUUUUCAUUUCAAAAUGCAUUCAACGUAGAACUUUUCAAAUAGAACUCGAUAUUAUUACAUUUUAUUCAAGAAAUUAAUAUUUCUGAAAAUUGAUUCUCGCAAUAUUUACUUAAAAAAAAAACUUCGUUAAAAAAUUAUAAUUUAUUGAAAACAAGCUUUACAAAUAUUUGAACCAUCGAGUUCGAGAUACAGACGAUAUCUUUGUUACCGGAAGUUUGCAAUGUCUCACUGACAGUUGAGAAAAUUGAAAACCUGGCGAAUCUUUAAAUUUCAACGAAAAUGUGAAAGAUCAAUGAAGUGAAAAUAUUUGGACGUUUAUCGAAAUGUUUGAUUGUCUCACUAUAUGUAACACCGUUUGCAUAGGUUGCAUCUGGGUUGCUUUAUUCUCCAAGUGUUUUUCAAAUUUAAUUAGCAUCAGAAGAGUCGAUUCGAGCGAGUGCUGCAAUUGGAAGAAACCAAAACCCGAAGAAAAGAUUUCACGCAUUGUUCAAUGUUGUUUAAGCUCUACAGAGGCUCUUAUGCUUCAAACAUCUUGCCAAUCUAAUUACGAUGACUUACAGAAUUAUAAAUAUCAAGUAUUGAUGGCAGAAAAGGAAAUAUUAUAAAAUUAAAAAAUGAUAAUCAGCAGACUGAAAUUGCAAAAAAAAAAAAGAAGAUUUACAAAAUUUGUGAACGAAGAAAAGGAAAUAUUUUUGCCAGAUUAGAAAAUGUCGAAAAUGUCGAACAACUACAAAAUUAAUCAUCUGUACCUGUACAUCUUAUUUCAUAUCUUAUUUUACAUCCAAAAGAUGUAAAAUAAAAAUAAUUGAUAGAAAAUAUUCAAAGUGAAUAAUCCAUUGUCCAAUAAUAUGUCCAAUAAU
RNAcentral lists this long non-coding RNA (1070 nucleotides) under Apis dorsata (giant honeybee). RNAcentral's name for it is "uncharacterized LOC116186766, transcript variant X1". The record is from RNAcentral. Lineage: Eukaryota; Metazoa; Arthropoda; Insecta; Hymenoptera; Apidae.